GCCUAACGGCUGAACCAGCAACUUGCAGGAAUGAGAGUUAAUAUAAUAAGUUAUUAACUUGCUUGACUAGGUCUUAUAAAGUUCUGGAUAAAGCUUAUUAUGAAAACUUUAUAUCCAUAGGUCUCGACCAAAUCUUGUGCCAGCAGUCGCGGUAAGACAAGGGAGACGAGUGUUAUUCAUCUUUAACAGGUAUAUAGGGUACCUAGACGGUGUGCAAUGGCUUAAAUAAGUACCUGGUACACUUGAGUUUGAUAUGUGAGAGGAAUAUGUCGGAAUUGUUGGAGGAAAGAUGAAAUUUGUUAAUACCAAUAGGACUGAUAACGGCGAAGGCAAACCUCUAUGUACAUGUACUUGCUAUUUCACUAAUAGAGGAAAAAAUUUCUCUAAUAGAGGGAAUAGCAAUGUACUAUAACUGACGUUGAGGGACGAAGGCUCAGUGAGUGAAGAGGAUUAGAUACCCCCGUAACCUGGGCAGACAAUGAUGAGUGCCAUAGGUUGGCUUUAAGGCGGAACUAUAAAUGAAAGUGGAAGCACUCCACCUCAAGAGUAAUGUGGCAACGCAGGAACUGAAAUCAUUAGACCGUUUCUGAAACCAGUAGUGAAGU
Molecule: ribosomal RNA, 605 nt
Filed under: Alternaria scirpicola
Lineage: Eukaryota; Fungi; Ascomycota; Dothideomycetes; Pleosporales; Pleosporaceae
Description: SSU rRNA
Rfam family: Bacterial small subunit ribosomal RNA
Source: RNAcentral